AACGUAGGAGGCAAGCGUUAUCCGGAUUUACUGGGCGUAAAGCGCGUGUAGGCGGCCCGGUCAGUCGGACGUGAAAUCUCCUGGCUCAACUGGGAGGGGCCGUUCGACACUACCGGGCUUGAGGGCAAGAGAGGGAGGUGGAAUUCCGGGUGUAGCGGUGAAAUGCGUAGAUAUCCGGAGGAACACCUGUGGCGAAAGCGGCCUCCUGGCUUGCCCCUGACGCUCAGACGCGAAAGCUAGGGGAGCGAACGGG
Molecule: ribosomal RNA, 253 nt
Filed under: uncultured bacterium
Lineage: Bacteria
Description: partial 16S ribosomal RNA
Rfam family: Bacterial small subunit ribosomal RNA
Source: RNAcentral